This 465-nucleotide ribosomal RNA is filed under the name uncultured bacterium. Its description in RNAcentral is "bacterial SSU rRNA". It matches the Rfam family "Bacterial small subunit ribosomal RNA", at positions 338 to 795 of the family's 1533-position model. The record is from RNAcentral.
CCUACGGGAGGCAGCAGUGGGGAAUAUUGCACAAUGGGGGAAACCCUGAUGCAGCAACGCCGCGUGAGCGAUGAAGGUCUUCGGGUUGUAAACUGCUUUUGUACGGAACGAAACGGCCUUUUCUAAUAAAGGGGGCUAAUGACGGUACCGUAAGAAUAAGCACCGGCUAACUACGUGCCAGCAGCCGCGGUAAUACGUAGGGUGCAAGCGUUAAUCGGAAUUACUGGGCGUAAAGCGUGCGCAGGCGGUUAUGUAAGACAGUUGUGAAAUCCCCGGGCUCAACCUGGGAACUGCAUCUGUGACUGCAUAGCUAGAGUACGGUAGAGGGGGAUGGAAUUCCGCGUGUAGCAGUGAAAUGCGUAGAUAUGCGGAGGAACACCGAUGGCGAAGGCAAUCCCCUGGACCUGUACUGACGCUCAUGCACGAAAGCGUGGGGAGCAAACAGGAUUAGAUACCCCAGUAGUC